GCGGGUAUAGUACAAUGGUAGUACAGCAGCCUUCCAAGCUGGCUAUGCGGGUUCGAUUCCCGCUACCCGCUCCA
RNAcentral lists this transfer RNA (74 nucleotides) under Caulobacterales bacterium. RNAcentral describes it as "tRNA-Gly". It matches the Rfam family "tRNA". From Rfam's summary of the family: Transfer RNA (tRNA) molecules are approximately 80 nucleotides in length. Their secondary structure includes four short double-helical elements and three loops (D, anti-codon, and T loops). The record is from RNAcentral. Lineage: Bacteria; Pseudomonadati; Pseudomonadota; Alphaproteobacteria; Caulobacterales.